GUUUGAGUAGCUCAGUGGUAAGAGCAGUCGCCCGGCAAGCGAAAGACUCGGGUUCGGUUGCUGAUUCGACUU
Molecule: transfer RNA, 72 nt
Filed under: Lasius niger
Lineage: Eukaryota; Metazoa; Arthropoda; Insecta; Hymenoptera; Formicidae
Rfam family: tRNA
About the family: Transfer RNA (tRNA) molecules are approximately 80 nucleotides in length. Their secondary structure includes four short double-helical elements and three loops (D, anti-codon, and T loops). Further hydrogen bonds mediate the characteristic L-shaped molecular structure. tRNAs have two regions of fundamental functional importance: the anti-codon, which is responsible for specific mRNA codon recognition, and the 3' end, to which the tRNAs corresponding amino acid is attached (by aminoacyl-tRNA synthetases). tRNAs cope with the degeneracy of the genetic code in two manners: having more than one tRNA (with a specific anti-codon) for a particular amino acid; and 'wobble' base-pairing, i.e. permitting non-standard base-pairing at the 3rd anti-codon position.
Source: Rfam by way of RNAcentral